Long non-coding RNA from Glossina fuscipes, 477 nucleotides. RefSeq lists it as uncharacterized. The transcript is spliced from 3 exons. The record is from RefSeq and is a predicted model, not a curated record. Lineage: Eukaryota; Metazoa; Arthropoda; Insecta; Diptera; Glossinidae.
UAGCAGCAAUGGCAAUAUCGAAAACCAAUUCAAGCAGCAUUUUGUUCAAUAAAGAAGCACACCAUUGUCACCUUUAAUUGUUCGAGAACAACACUUCACACAUUUCCUUUAUAACGCACCUACCUGAGCAUGUGGAUGUUACCAGAUAAUGAAAACUCAACAUGCAGGCAAACGGACUUACAACCGAGGCAAGUGAUUACAACAUCCCGAAUUGAAACAACAACAAUUUUUGCUUUAUGCUAAAAGACAGUGAAUAUUUCCAAGCUUUCUUUUGAUCGAGUUACAACCAGCUUUAGAAAUUUGCAACUACAAUCGAUAGCUCUCACACUCGCACUUUGCCAAAUGUCGUCAACACGCAGAUAGACGGGCCAGGUAAUCCUAGUCUAACGAAUUUGGUGUCUACAUCUCUUAGAAACAGGAGCCUUGCAAGAUUUCGCGAAAAAUUUCUCAAAUAGAUCAAGUACAAAUUUUAAUAUU